Molecule: small nucleolar RNA, 104 nt
Filed under: Gossypium hirsutum (cotton)
Lineage: Eukaryota; Viridiplantae; Streptophyta; Magnoliopsida; Malvales; Malvaceae
Also listed under: 1 other name
Description: Plant small nucleolar RNA R71
Rfam family: Plant small nucleolar RNA R71
About the family: R71 is a member of the C/D box family of snoRNAs containing the C (UGAUGA) and D (CUGA) box motifs. Multiple nearly identical copies of this snoRNA have been identified in Arabidopsis, and it is thought to function as a 2'-O-ribose methylation guide for 18S ribosomal RNA.
Source: Rfam by way of RNAcentral
AAUCCGUGGUGCGGACAUUUCUGAAUCAAUGUUUUAAAAUGUUCCCAAGCUUCAUGAAAACUUUCCCCUUCUAUCUGUCUAAAGACUAAUUUAUCUUCUUAGUU